Molecule: long non-coding RNA, 2178 nt
Filed under: Salmo salar (Atlantic salmon)
Lineage: Eukaryota; Metazoa; Chordata; Actinopteri; Salmoniformes; Salmonidae
Description: lncRNA (ENSSSAG00000084784.1, ENSSSAG00000115991.1)
Source: RNAcentral
GUUUUGAUGAGUGUUGGACAUAAUUUUCAAUUGCAUUGUUGUCAUAGUGGUUAUAGCAACAAUAGAGCCCUGAGUACCAGGCCAUUAGCAAUCUGAUGGUCGUUGCGAGUUGGGUACUACCAAUGCAUGUCUAGAGUGAUCAAUGGUCACAUACAUAUUGCGACGGAUCAGCUAGUCCAAAACACCCUAACACAGGCGGGAAAUGAACAGACUGGAGGCAGUGGUUGUGGUUCCUUUUCUUUUGUAAUGUCACUAAACAGGUUCUUUCGCCCGACAAAAUAAUUCUAGUGAAAGGUAACGUCCAAUGCUGAAACAGCAUAAAGAGAAUAUACAAACUAAUCAGCUGACCAAAAGGCCACGGCCAAAAAGGGAACACAAAACAAACAGCUCCCAUUGUCUUUAGACUAUCGUCUACACAUCACAUUUCCAGGGGGAACGCUUCCCUCUAUCUAUAGACUGCCUUGUUUAACAUAGAGCCAAAGUGCAUCGGAUGACGCCGCUUUCUCUAAGGUAGGAACGUCCCCAUGUCUGCUCCCAUUCUACAUCAAGCUCAUCUCCUGGCACACCUAUAUAGAGGGAGACACCAAGCCAAUUAGUGGGCCCAGUUGUGUACUAAUUGGUUUUACACUGAGUACCUAUCUCCUGAGGAGAGGGCUGUCGGGUCACUGAACCCUCACAGUAUGUAUAGAAUAGGGCUGUAACCAACUAAAAAAAAUCUUGGUCGACCAAGAGUCGUCUGUUCUUUUGACCAAUUGAUUGGUCGACAUUUAUACAUGUGUAUUUUUCCACAUAUAGACACAUCCUAUGUGUUUUAAUCAAAUCAACUAUAAUCACUGAGCAUGUCUGAUGCUUUAAGCACACUGUUUGAUUAAAUAAUUAAGACACACAAAUUACUAGAGGGAGUCCGAUUAGCAAUUGAUUUGAUUGUGCUGCUGUGUUAAAAAAAGACAGUGAGUGACUGUGUGACUAGCACCCGCUGUCUCUCUCUCCUCCCUGCUGCAGCGACCACCACAGAACAUCAAAGUGUUUAUCGCGCUGUCCGUGUUGCUGAAGCUUCAACAUAAUUACAGCCAUUUCUGAUAAAGAGUUCUGUUACUGAAAUCCCUUAUUUGUUUAGGAAAAACAUUCCCUAUUCCCUCAAUCCUUGCUUUCUUUACGUGACACAUGUAUGCAUCGCAUGCACGUGACCAAUAGGGCCUGACCUAUAACAUAAGGCAAUCACAUCAAUAAAUUGGUUAUUGAAAUAUAGGCCUAAGUAAGUUAGGGUAUUAAGACUAAACAGGAUGUGCUCUUAGGCCUAAAGCUCAAUGGUGGUUAUAUAAGGCUGCUAUAAGCCUACUAAUGGUAAUGACAUUUCUUAUUAUUAUACUAAUAAUAAUAACAAGAAGGAGAUCAAGAAAAAGGAGCCUUAUUAUUAUAAAUAUAUUCAUUCUGACAAUUUGGAACAGUGUAAACAACGCUAAUAUCAGAGACGCUAUUCUAACGGAAAAAACUGUAAAGCCUUUAUUACAGCAAAGAUUUAAAACAGACAUUUGUGAAAUUGUUUGCUGAGGCAUGACGUGGGACCCUGCUAAGCCAAUCGAGGCAAGGAAACCUCUCGAGCCAGCUAAGGCGUGGAAGCCCGACGAUCCAGCUGAGGCACCCCCGGUUCCAUCGGCAGCGGCACCCGGACCCGACAUCACCAACAAAAACAAAAACUCCCAAUUGCUUCAAAUUGUGGUGUCAGCAUUCUGUAAGGACAGAAGCUUGGAGAUGAGAAGCAAGUACAGGGAUUGAACAUUUAAUUAAUAAGCAGACAUGAAACAAGACAAGACAGCAUCUGUACAUGAAAAACAUAACGACAUUAAUGCUGACACAGGGAACAAACUGAGGAACAGACAGAUAUAGAGGGGGAAAUCAACAAUGUGAAGGAGUCCAGUUCCUUUUGUUCGUAAAGCCUACCAGUGGUUUUCCCCUUGAUCUUCUCUGAGGUUAGUUCCUGUUUUCUAAUUUUGCCGGUUUUGACCAUUCAGCCUGACCUGAGCCUACCUGCCGUUUCUGUACCUUGUCACACCACCCUGGAUUUAUGACUGCUGCCUGCCCUGACCCCGAGACUGCCUGCCAUUCUGUACCUUUUGGACUCUGAUCUGGAUUACUGACCUCUGCCUGCCCUUGACCUGUCAUUUUGCCUGCCCCCUG